Long non-coding RNA from Lotus japonicus, 1608 nucleotides. RefSeq lists it as uncharacterized. The record is from RefSeq and is a predicted model, not a curated record. The transcript is spliced from 5 exons. Lineage: Eukaryota; Viridiplantae; Streptophyta; Magnoliopsida; Fabales; Fabaceae.
UUGCAUCGGUACAACACAAAUAUUUAUGGAGCUUCAAUCUUUUCUUCUCCUCCCUAACCCCAUUGCCCAGGAAGACUUCACUACUCCGUCGAUGAACUCAUCAAGUUCAAAUUAUUUAGCAUACGACCUCUACAACUGUAAAAUGAGACUUAUAGAAGCCUUCUUAUGGUGACAUGAUUUCUUCUAUAAGGACUGGUUUUGCUGCAAAGUGCCAGAUUAUUUGUUAAAUCAUUCUAAAAAUUUACAGUGGAUGAUAUAGUCUUCUUGGGUGGCUUUGUGUUCUUCGGUCAUUCAAUUUUGUUCGAAAUCCAGUUUAAGGAUUUGGACUAAAUGAGGCUGCAAUGAAAUUAUCAUUAUUCUUUAAAAAAAAAAAUAUGUUCUCUAAUGUUGAAAUAUGAUUGAAGCUUGAAUUUGAAGAAGGAUUCUAAAAUGCUACCACCUUCAAGUUCUUAUUUCCCUAUUUUCAAAGGGAUCCAUUGACAUUGAUCUUAUCACUGGACUUUUGUGGUUUUAGCCGGUAACUCACAUCAUAAUCAAUGAAGAAGUCAUAUAACAAAGUGAAUAGAGCCGAGCAAGUAACACACAUCAUAACACCGUGCAUAUGCAAUUUUUUUGUUCAAACAAAAAGCUAUUCGUAAUACUUCUUGAUUGGGGAAUUUGAAUAUAGUUGUUUUCCAUUUUUAGCUAAUCUUCACUAUUUAAUAUUCAUCAUGGCAAUGUGUUACACUUGAUUCAGGUUUUGAUUAGAAAACAUUUUGUACUGGCUCUCUUAAGCCGUGUGCUCUAUAUUAUUUGUUAUUAAUUUAUUGUGUGAAUUAAAGUUUGUCUUUAAUUUGCUAAACCAUUAAGGAAUAUAUGUUUUUAGCCAUGGACGUCUUACUGAUAAUUGUCUCAUGUGACUCGAAUGUAGAGACUUGCCUUUCUAAAUGCAGAUGGUUUGUACAUCUACCUACUUGAAGAUCUUAAUAUCCAUCCUCAGCUAUAUCUUCAAAUAAUUUCCAAGCAUAUGAAAAAUUGGAACGGCGGAAUGUAUUGCCUGAUCUAUGGAUUUUUCUGCUGCUUGGUGCGUUCCCAAGGGCUGUUCAGGUCUAACUAUGAAACCAGAAUUUAAAAGAGAAUCCUUUUAUUUUGGCACAAAUUCUGAUUCUGGAAUUAUGGUUGGGGUGGAGGGUCCUUUGUGUUUCUACUAUGAAGGGUUGAUUGCUCUUAAGAGUGUACAAAGGAAGUGCCUGAAAACAAGAGGCGUAUUUCAAUUAUUAAAGGUAUUGUUAUUUCUAGGCGUAAUGCUGGCCUCAAUUGAACAUUCAGAAUUAGAAGGAUGGUGGCUGGGGUUGACAUCCAUAAUCUAUUUCCACUGUAUUCACCAAACAUAAAGGAGAUAAAGGUGAUUGACUAGAAGAAAGUGAGAAGGGCCAAACUCUACUACACGAGGGAUAGAUUGAACUUUAACAAAUAACCCCGAUCUCCAUCCUAUAUUAUUUAUGAUUCACCUGCUCAAGUCUUUAGGGAAAAUGCAAGUUUAUUAGAAGUAUAUGUAAUCCAGACUUGAAAAUGCAAGUUUAUUAUGUAAUUAUUAAUAAAUUUUUGAGAAUGUGUAAAGGCACACAC